Molecule: non-coding RNA, 115 nt
Organism: Triticum aestivum (bread wheat)
Lineage: Eukaryota; Viridiplantae; Streptophyta; Magnoliopsida; Poales; Poaceae
Source: Rfam
GUAGUACUCCCUCCGUUCGGAAUUACUUGUCUCGGAAAUGGAUGUAUUUAGAUGUAUUUUAGUUCUAGAUACAUUAAUUUCCGAGACAAGUAAUUCCGAACGAAGGGAGUACCUC